RNAcentral lists this transfer RNA (76 nucleotides) under Methanococcoides methylutens. RNAcentral describes it as "tRNA-Gln". It matches the Rfam family "tRNA". Rfam says of the family: Transfer RNA (tRNA) molecules are approximately 80 nucleotides in length. Their secondary structure includes four short double-helical elements and three loops (D, anti-codon, and T loops). The record is from RNAcentral. Lineage: Archaea; Methanobacteriati; Methanobacteriota; Methanomicrobia; Methanosarcinales; Methanosarcinaceae. RNAcentral also lists the same sequence under 6 other names.
AGCCCGGUAGUGUAGUGGUCAAUCAUGCAGGACUCUGGAUCCCGCAACUUCGGUUCGAAUCCGUGCCGGGCUACCA